This 86-nucleotide non-coding RNA is filed under the name Pseudomonas tolaasii NCPPB 2192. The record is from RNAcentral. Lineage: Bacteria; Pseudomonadati; Pseudomonadota; Gammaproteobacteria; Pseudomonadales; Pseudomonadaceae.
UGUGGGAGCUGGCUUGCCUGCGAUAGCAUCACCGCUAUGCAACUUACUACCGAGGUGCCCGCAUCGCAGGCUAGCCAGCUCCCACC